AGACUCUAGAGUGAAGUGGAGUGACAUAAGCAGACUUCAUCAUGAUGGAGGAAGAGCCCCUUUCCCAGACAAAUGCUGGAAGAAAAGUAGUUGAGCUGUCUGAUCCAUUCAACCAGUCUUCAAGAGAGAAAGCACUUUUGCUCAGACCGAACCACGUGGUUGAUGAACAAUGGCUGUAUUGAUACUCAGUAGCCAUCACCCUUCUGGUACAGCCAGGUAGGAACUGAAUUGUUGCUGAUAUUUUCCUCCUAUUUUUUAAGUGAUUUAUCAUAUAUAUGGCUUUUCACUUUCUCUCCCCUGCUGGAAUGAAACUAAUCAUGCUUUCGUGUCGGUGCAAAAGUUUGAAGAUUAUGGUUGGUUGUCAUAAGUGAG
This 372-nucleotide long non-coding RNA is filed under the name Sus scrofa (pig). RNAcentral's name for it is "lncRNA (ENSSSCG00070004364.1)". Lineage: Eukaryota; Metazoa; Chordata; Mammalia; Artiodactyla; Suidae. The record is from RNAcentral.